AAGGAGCGAAAACUUUAAUAUCUAAGCACUAAGGCUUAAAAGUGACUAAACUAAAAAGCUAAAACUUAAAGAACAUGGCGGCGGAAAUAAAAUUUAGGGGAACUUACCAGGUAAUUGACAACCCUCAAAAAAAAUCACCUUUAUUCAAAGUUUGUAUACCGCCGUCUUGGGCCCUCUUGAGGAGGGCCCAAAAUUAUGUAAUAAAUAAGACAGGUCAUGGUGCAGCCUAUAUAAAGGACUGUAAGGUGAGUUACAAUAGUAGUUUACUUCGGAAUGAAAAUGUAAGAAUAAAAGGAAGAUGGACUUAACAGUAAUUACUAAAGAAGUAUGUUUUGAAACACAAAGAUUUUCGUGC
RNAcentral lists this ribosomal RNA (355 nucleotides) under Aplysia morio. RNAcentral describes it as "partial 12S ribosomal RNA". The record is from RNAcentral. Lineage: Eukaryota; Metazoa; Mollusca; Gastropoda; Aplysiida; Aplysiidae.